This is a long non-coding RNA of Salvelinus namaycush (lake trout), 1878 nucleotides long. RefSeq lists it as uncharacterized. The record is from RefSeq and is a predicted model, not a curated record. NCBI's taxonomy places the organism in Eukaryota, Metazoa, Chordata, Actinopteri, Salmoniformes, Salmonidae. The transcript is spliced from 2 exons.
UCUCGUCUCUCCUCCCUCCCCUCUCCUCUCCUCUCCUCUGUCCUGUCUCUUCUCUCCUCCACUGAUAAACAACCAACCACAUCCUCCUCUUCUCCUUUUCCUGUGGAGGUACCUCCUAACAGACACUCAUCUUCCUCACCCAGUCUGUCCAUCAGAGGUACCUCCUCUAACACAAACACUCAUCUUCCUCACCCAGUCUGUCCAUCAGAGGUACCUCCUCUAACAGACACUCAUCUUCCUCACCCAGUCUGUCCAUCAGAGGUACCUCCUCUAACAGACACUCAUCUUCCUCACCCAGUCUGUUCAUCAGAGGUACCUCCUCUAACAGACACACUCAUCUUCCUCACCCAGUCUGUCCAUCAGAGGUACCUCCUCUAACAGACACUCAUCUUCCUCACCCAGUCUGUCCAUCAGAGGUACCUCCUCUAACAGACACACUCAUCUUCCUCACCCAGUCUGUCCAUCAGAGGUACCUCCUCUAACAGACACUCAUCUUCCUCACCCAGUCUGUUCAUCAGAGGUACCUCCUCUAACAGACACUCAUCUUCCUCACCCAGUCUGUUCAUCAGAGGUACCUCCUCUAACAGACACACUCAUCUUCCUCACCCAGUCUGUCCAUCAGAGGUACCUCCUCUAACACAAACAAGUGCAUUCAAUUCAUACCCUCUUUCUGAUUUAUAUCCAUGUCGUACUGUUAGUAUUGACAGAUACAUGUCAUACUGUACUGUUAGUAUUGAAGGAGCCGUACUAUAAACGGUUCUAGCGUCUCUUGGCCAGACUUAACAACUUAUGUAUUUUCUGAACACCAUUUUGCAGCUACUGUAAUCCUCAUAAUGGACCUGCCUUCACUUUGAAUUCAGGAAGUGAAAUGAAAACUUGUUUUGUUAUAAGUUGUUUUUUUAAAGGCCCAGUGCAUCAGAAAUAUACAUUUAUAUAUAUUUCCACACUGUGAGGUUGGAAUAACACUGUGAAAUUGUGAACAUUAUCAAAAUGUCCUUUUAGUGUAAGAGUUGUUUGAAAAGACUGACAUUUCAGCCUGUUUUGGCAGGAUGGAGUUAUGGCCUUCCACGGUGACAUCACUAUGGGGUGAAUUAGUUAAUAGACCAAUAAGAAAGAGAGUUCUAAACCCCUCUGCCAAUAACAGCACAUUAUCAGUUUUCCCCUCCCCACUCAGACCACUCCCCAGACAGACCUACCUAAAUUGUUGCUUGAGAAAUUGCCUGUUGUUAAGAAUCUACUUUUUGUUUAUUUUUGACCAUUUUAAUUAAAAUCACAGUAAGGUACUUAAUUGUUACCCAGAAAUGAUUUGAUAUUGACAUAAAACGCCUGCAUUGGAUUUUUUUAAAUUUUAAAUAUUGCUUUAUUCCUAAAUGAACUUUUGUAUGCCAACAGUGUUUCUCAUGCAGUAUAGAAUCAAGCUGCAUUCUGGGAUGUAAAGCUACUGUUAUUCUCCAGUGAUGUUAUAGUCCCCAAGAUAUCUUCUCAUGCAGUAUAGAAUCAAGCUGCAUUCUGGGAUGUAAAGCUACUGUUAUUCUCCAGUGAUGUUAUAAUCCCCAAGAUAUCUACUAUCUCCAUCAUGCCAUCGUUGCUGUGUUGUUCAAAGGCUCACUGAUCUGUGUCUGAUGACAUGGUUAGAGUUGCGUCCUGACUCUCCACACUUCUCCUAGAGUGUGCUCUUGCACACUUCCUGUCAUCGAAACAGACAAAGAGAACCAGUCAGAGCCCAGAACCUCAGGGAAAUGGACAUUGUUAGAGAAUUAAGGGAAGAGGAUUACUGUCUGGAAUCAUGUGUUUUAUUAAAAGGUUUUGAAUGGUUGAAGGAUAAAUUAUAAUGUGUGAUAUUAUAAUAACCAAUAAAGUUGUGUGAAAUAAAGUGAA